RNAcentral lists this ribosomal RNA (260 nucleotides) under uncultured bacterium. RNAcentral describes it as "partial small subunit ribosomal RNA". It matches the Rfam family "Bacterial small subunit ribosomal RNA", at positions 26 to 285 of the family's 1533-position model. The record is from RNAcentral.
AGAAUCAACGCUGGCGGCGUGCCUAACACAUGCAAGUCGAACGAGAAAGGGGAGCAAUCCCUGAGUAAAGUGGCGACCGGGUGAGUAACACGUGACUAACCUACCCUCGAGUGUGGAAUAACAUCGGGAAACCGAUGCUAAUACCGCAUAACAUCGGCGCUUUUAAGAGAUGCCGAUCAAAGGAGCAAUCCGCUUGAGGAGGGGGUCGCGGCCGAUUAGUUAGUUGGCGGGGUAAUGGCCCACCAAGACUGUGAUCGGUA